Molecule: small nucleolar RNA, 93 nt
Organism: Labeo rohita (rohu)
Lineage: Eukaryota; Metazoa; Chordata; Actinopteri; Cypriniformes; Cyprinidae
Product: small nucleolar SNORD12/SNORD106
Exons: 1
Source: RefSeq, a predicted model, not a curated record
CCUGGUGCAUAUGAUGACAUAUUUUUUUCCCCGGCAGAUCGAUAGUGUUGACGUUUUCUUUAAACUUAAAGCCAAUUUAUCUGAAGCACUAUC